This 279-nucleotide ribosomal RNA is filed under the name uncultured bacterium. RNAcentral describes it as "partial 16S ribosomal RNA". It matches the Rfam family "Bacterial small subunit ribosomal RNA", at positions 506 to 784 of the family's 1533-position model. The record is from RNAcentral.
UGCCAGCCGCCGCGGUAAUACGGAGGGUGCAAGCGUUGUUCGGAAUUACUGGGCGUAAAGCGCGCGUAGGCGGCUUUUUAAGUCAGAUGUGAAAGUCCACGGCUCAACCGUGGAAGUGCAUUUGAAACUGGAAAGCUUGAGUAUCAGAGGGGAUGGUGGAAUUCCCGGUGUAGAGGUGAAAUUCGUAGAUAUUAGGAAGAACACCAGUGGCGAAGGCGGCUCACUGGCCCGAUACUGACGCUGAGGUGCGAAAGCGUGGGGAGCAAACAGGAUUAGAUA